This 295-nucleotide ribosomal RNA is filed under the name uncultured bacterium. RNAcentral's name for it is "partial 16S ribosomal RNA". It matches the Rfam family "Bacterial small subunit ribosomal RNA", at positions 775 to 1067 of the family's 1533-position model. The record is from RNAcentral.
GGAUUAGAUACCCUGGUAGUCCACGCCGUAAACGAUGAAAACUAGGCGUUGGGGAGCCUUGAGCCCUUCAGUGCCGCAGCUAACGCAUUAAGUUUUCCGCCUGGGGAGUACGGCCGCAAGGCUAAAACUCAAAGGAAUUGACGGGGGCCCGCACAAGCGGUGGAGCAUGCGGUUUAAUUCGAUGCAACGCGAAAAACCUUACCUACCCUUGACAUUCUGGGAAUCUUCUAGGAAUAGAAGAGUGCCUUCGGGAACCCAGUAACAGGUGCUGCAUGGCUGUCGUCAGCUCGUGCCG